Molecule: long non-coding RNA, 2258 nt
Organism: Bos taurus (domestic cattle)
Lineage: Eukaryota; Metazoa; Chordata; Mammalia; Artiodactyla; Bovidae
Source: Ensembl
CUUGUAAGAGAGAAGCAGGAGGAUCAGUCAGAGGAAGGAGAUGUAAAAAUGGAGAGGGUCAGAGAGGAGAGGAAAUGCUACCCUGUAGCUUUGAAUACGGAGAAGAGUCUAGGAAUGCUGACAAUCUCUAGAAGCUGAAGGAGAGAAAGAAGUAAAGACAAGAAAGCAGAUUCUCCCCAGAGCCUCCAGAGUGGAACGUAGCCUUAUCAACAUCCUGACUCUAGCAAGGAAAUAUCCAGAAUCAACAAAUUCCUGAAGACAGAAAGCAGAUCGACGGUUGCCAGGCAAUGGAAGGAGAGGAGAUGGGGUGACUUUUUAAUAGACAGAAGAUUUCCUUUGGAUCAAAGAAAAUAUUCAGAGACUGAAAUAGUGAAAGACAAAGGGAACUAAAUUAACAUUUAAAUCAAAGUGGAAUAAGCUUCCGGACCCAUGCCCCACUGAUUUCUAACUUCUAGUUCUUCAGUCCAGAGCCUUCCAGUUAAAACUAUUUGGUUUGGGGGUAACUAAUUAUUUGGAUAUUUGCUACACAUUUCCAAAUAACAAGCUUAUUGUGCACUGCACCUAUUGAUCUAUACAUUUUGAUAUUAUCUAUUGACUUCCAACUAUAGUGGAUGAGUAUUUAGCUCUGUUUUCAGUAAUUGUAUAUUUAAUAUCCAAGAGCUCUUUCUUAUUCUCUGAUUUUGUGUUUUUACAGUACAGUAUUCUUCCUAAUCAAUGCAAUAUCUUUCUUCUCUCUCUGAGAAUGUACACUAUAACUAUUUUACAUUCUGUUCUGCCCCUGCUUUGCCAUUUUCAUUCAAGUUUUGUUUCCUUCCUAUUUAUUUGAUUUCUUCUCUGUCCUUUAUAUUGAAGACUUUCUUCAAAUGUCUGUGAUCCUGAACUGACUCAUCACGUUCAGGAGUGAGGCACUAAAAAGUCGGCUGGCAGUUGAUAUCAUGGCAGAGUAGAAGGCCACGUGAAACUUUUAUUAGGGAAGCUCAUCUGUUUAAGUCUUUUCUCUGGGAGCACUUGGUUUCUGCUGGGAAAAAUUCUUUCAGUUCCAACCUGGUUUCUGUCCCUGUUUGUGGAAGGAGUGGGGUAAUGUAUCUACUUGCUAAACCUGCAGAAUUCCACCAUGAAUUAUUUCCUUUGCCCUCCACUGUGCGCCUUUUUUGGUUCAGUUUCUCCAAAUAAUGAACUGCUGGCCUCCUGUAGCCAUCUGGCUGCUCCCAGGCGAGAGCAGGGCCAGGAGUUUAACAGGCUUUCCCCGAGUCCCUAAUUCCAGCCUAGGGCUCUGUCCCCACCUUCCCCAGCCCCUGGUGCCUCUCAGCCUUCCCUUCCUGGAGGUCUGCCAGGCAACGGAGUGUAUUUCUCAGUGACAUUCCCUCUGCUAGAACUUAGUCAUCACUUCACUGUUUCUUUUAUCCUCUACUACCAGCAAUUUGCUGGCUUUUUUUUUUUUUUGCUCACAUUUUUAUUCUUUUACUUUAGUGGAGUUUCUCUAGCGAGGUAAGAUAACUUUAUACAUUUAAUUCACCAUUUUAGCUGGAAAUCAGGUGUGUUUCUUCAGGUGGGAUAUAUAGCUCUUUUACUUACCUGUCUUAUGCAUUCCUCACAAAAAUUCUGUAAAGGUGGGUCAUGGGAUUGUCAGUAAUUCUGUAGCUAAGCAAAUGGAAAUUCAAAAAGGAAAUUAACUUGCCCAAUACCACAUGGCUGUGACGAACCAGGAUUUGAACGCAAGCCUUUUAACUCUGCAAGUCUUUAACUCUUUAACUCAAGUCUUAGUAAUAAUAAUACAAAGAAAGGCUAAUUUUCUAUGUGUGGUAGGCAGACUAACAGCCUUCAAAGAUGCUCAUGUCCUAAUCCCUGGAAGGUGUGAAUAUGUUAUGAUACAUGGAGAAGAAUUAAGAUUGCAGAUGGAAUUAAGUUUGAUAAUCAUAUAAUCAUCUAGGAAGAUUAUUUCCGGUUAUUUGGGUGGGCCCAAUGUAAUCACAGGAUUCCUUAAAAGUGGAAGAGGAGGAUACAAAAGAGGAGAGUGUCAAAGAGAGACCUGACAGCAAAAGAAAGUCACAGAGAGAUCAUUGUUUUGGCUUUGAAGACAGAAGAGGGCCCACAAGCCAGGAAAUGUGAAUGUCCUUUAAAAGCUAGAAAAAUACCCUCUACCCAGAGUCUCCAGAAAAGAACACAGCCUCAACAGCAAUUUAGUUUUAACCCAGUGAGACCUGUGUCAAAUAUUUGUCCUACAGAACUGUAAGAUAAUAAAUUUUAUGGUUUAUAUG